UCGUCCUCUCCUCCGGCCAGUACUUCACUCCGGCGCUCUACAACGUCCCGGCUUUCAGGAGCAAGCUCGAGGAAUGGUUCCCACAGCAGGAGGCCAUCUUCCAUCUCCUGGUGAGGUACCUGUUGCUUCCCAGUGACUUCGUGUGGGACAAGGCAGCCAGGUACUACGACGCGUACCUGAACCAGGCCGAGCUUCUAGUCGGGGUCCAGCUGCGAAACCACAUCUGGUUCUCGCCACCCAACCUCGCCGAGGAUACGUUCGACUGCCUGGUGCAACAAGGCGCGCUCGCAAACACCACCCAGGAGCGAGCUCCCAGAUCGCCGGUGAGGAAGAACAGCAAGAAGGUGGCGGUGCUGGUGGUGUCGCUCAACUCGCAGUACUCGGAGACGCUCAAGAGCAAGGUGCUGGGAUACGAUCUAGCGGACGGCUCCUCGGUGUCCAUCCACCAGCCGAGCGUGGAGGGGGUGCAAAACACAGGGAACUUGGAUCACGACGCACAGGCGGUGAUGGAGAUCUACUUGCUGUCGAUGAGCGAUGUCCUGGUGACGAGCCCGCCAUCCACGUUUGGCUACUCGGCGGCGGGGCUGGCGGGGAUGAGGCCCGUGCAGUUCGUGUGCGACCAGAACAAGAGCGUGGUUUGCUCGGUGAGGGAGACGAUGGAGCCGUGCUACCACGUUUAUCCGGCUCAGUUCGCGCUGGACAACAUUGAAAAGUGCGAAUGCGGCGUGGGUUUCAGACUAGUCUAAAGGACGUUCUUAGAAAGGAUGUUGUCUUAGAAAGUUGUUAAAGCUUUAAGAUUUUAUUUUCUUUCUCGUGAUAGAUUUCUAAGUUGCUCCUUGGGUGCAUCACGGAAAUCUAGCGUCAUUUGUAGACUUGCGUGGUCAGGUCAUACUCUUGGCCCACGCAAAGAAAUCCAGGUAAUUUGGUACCAAGAGCUUAUAGACUUCAAAUGGCGAGCUGUCUUUUGUGCAGGACUUUGAAAAACUGCUCGUAUAGUGUUCUGGCGUGGAAGCUAACGAGUCUUUUUGACAAAUGGCACGCGCAAAGGACUUGACUGUUUACCAAGCCCGGUGGAGAACUUUUUGUGUGAAUAUAAAACACUGGAGGCCCAUUGGAUCCAAUCGUAUCGGAGCAAGCACAGCUCUUGGUUCUUAUACAACGAUAUCAUCACUACGUUUAGUGCUUUGUGGCUGGAAUGGAUCGUGGAAGGAUGCUUCUUGCCAUCGCAUUGGUGAUCAUGAUCAGCGGCAACAUCGAAUGUUCCAGGCCGGGCUCGUUUUCGGUGAUGAGCCAGCAGGCCGAGCUUUUCAAUUCCGAAUUGCGCCUUCCUGUUGUUAACAAGAUCCACAAUCUUUUCGAAAGGACCUUCCGGAGAAUGCUCAUCCAGGGUCAGCCCACGCCAUCCUCCGGCCCUUCCUGGUGCUGCCACGACCAUCCAUAGCAUUUUCCUAAAACGAUUUUUCAUUUCAAUACCACCAUUAUUUGGCUAAUUGAAGGGGCGGACAGCCACGUGGCUGACAAGUCACGCUGGGAGACGGCGGCGAAUUCUCCUCCAAAUCCUCCGCCUCCACCCCUUUCCCCAUUCUUCCCCACCUCCGCUUCCUCCCAUUACAGUCACAGCUUGCGUCCAUGAGGCGCUUGUCUCACCAAGGUGAAGGGGAAUGAUAAAGGCAUCUUUCCAUUUUUCCCUGUCAACUUCAAGAGACUUGAGAGCUGCUUGGAAUUCCCCGAAGUUCCAGUCCAGCAAGUAAAGUCUCCACAAGACUUUCAGGGAUGUCUUGUACAGCUGCGAACAAUCAGCCGUGGUGGUGGCUUGCCCUUGUUCUGGCGAGAAGAUCUGCAAAGAGGAGCGGCUGCAGUGAGUCUCGAAGAUUCGCAGGUCGUUCGGAUUGGGCAUGGCUUGAGGGCCGGGCAGGGCAGGAGGGACAAGAGCCGGUGGUGCUAGAACAAGCUGCAGAGGGAAGUGGGCAGCACUGGCAAAGGCAGAUUUUUUCCCACUUGACGAUGGAGUCUCAUUGAAAUGCACGUCUGGUGAGAUGAUCAGCGUCUUGGAGACAGGAUUGUAGACCUUGUAAGCCUUGUGUUCAAUGCCAUAGCCUAGGAAAAUGUCGCUUGUUGAAGUGAGUUUUUUUUCUAGUUUUAGAGGGGAUAUGGACGCCAUGGAAGGUGCGCUAAUCCAUUUGAAUUCCACUUUGUGCAAGAACCCUUGACAAUCCUGGACCUCAACAUUGGCAAGCACUUAAACGUGUCUUUUGGUACUUACGAGAUAUGUUUCCUUACAGUCUUAAGGCCAAGAGUCAAGCUUACUGGGCUGGCUUUGGCUAUAUUGUUUAGCCUUCGGUGUUGGGCCGGGUGUCGUUGAGGAGGCGGCAAAGCCAGAUGGCCUUUUUGCAUGCGGAACUAGCCUCCGCCUCACAGCUGGAGCAGGCAACGACGCUCUGCUUCUUGCUGCCAAUUGCAUUGUAAUCACAAUCAUCACAAGAUUAAUUCCCGGACGAAACACGCACCACGCUGGGAGACACGUCCAGUUCUUUCCAUGUUAUGCAAUCUUAAUUGAACAUCACAACAGCCUGGAAAUCGAGUCCGCUGCUUCAUCCCACCAAACAAUCUGAUCUCGUGCACAGCAUGAAACGAACAUUCUCUGUGCCUCUCCUGAUAGAGCCAUACAGGACCUUCUCAUGUCCAGCCAGCCACUCGAUUAUUAUAUGCAGCACACUCAAAUACAUCCAAGUAAAUCUUGAAAUCCUCGCAGAGUAGGCUAAAUGAGUCUGCUUGAGGAGGGCUUAAGUGAGUUGGCAAGGUGUAGUUUUGGUCUUUCCCUUGAACAUUGUAAGAUCAUGGACCUCACGUCACUACAGUGUCACCUUUAACUCAUUGUAACGCCCCAUAAAGGGAUUACUGCGUUUGCUCAAGUCCUCGAUGGGAGCGUGGAAGGUGAUAGCGCCUACAUCAGCUCCGUGAAUCGCAACAAGGAUUUCUUUCUUCUCAUGACAGGGGAUUUUAGGAUCGCGCCAGGCAGGGAUCACUUCGUCUGCAUGAUCGAUAUCUUCGGCCGUGGCAGGGAGAAUGCCGAGGAAUUGCUGCGUGCCAUGCCGUUUGUGCCGGAUGCUCUGAUUUGUAGGGCUUUGGUGGCAUCUUGCCGAUCGCAUUACGAUAUGUUUCGGGCAUUGGAUCGACAUAUAUGGCAAAUCGCUCCAAGAGCGUGUUUAAAAUGGAAAUUGGCGGGAAAGCGAUGUGUUUGUUUUCUAUUCUAUCUAGCUGUGCAUACUAUCGAAAGGUGGAAAAAGAAUUUAUUUAUAUAUGUAACUUCUUUCCAUUCAGUCAAGUCAGCCUCCCAACCUUUGGAGAAACUUUCAAGUCAUGCCGAUGAGCUCUCUCAACUUCUGGAUGAGACCACGGUCGUCAAUCUGGAACGCUUUUGCGAUCACGUCGUCGUUGAUUGGAGGACUGGAAUCAAACACCGCCUUGGCCACCUGAGUCGCCCCGGGGUUUUGGCUGUUGAAGCCAGCCAUUGCAACCGCAGGCUCCUUUCCAACGUUGAGCUGGAAGUGAAUGAGUCCCCGAGGGAAGACGAACAGAUCUCCAGGAUAGAGCAUUUGGGCGAAGAGCUUGUUGUCCGGCAAGGUGGUGACGAAUCCGACUAAGAGGUUCCCGUGCACGAGGAAGAGCAACUCGGAUCCUCGGGGAUGGACGUGGGGGGGAUUGGUGCCGCCGGGAGCAUAGUCGAUGCGGGCGAAAGCUACACCAAAGGUGUUGAGACCGGGGAAAUUGUUGACACUCGCCAGCGUGACGUUGGAGCCGAGCUUGUUGUCGGUGUUCCCGGGAGUCGCCAGCAGGCUCGACUUGAAGUCCUCGGCUUUCACAUCGGCGGCCGCCUUGCAGACGACGCCGUUCACUUUGAUCUUGGAGCCAUUGUCUGCAACGCAAAAGUCCUGCAGCAUAUCUUCAUCCGCAGCAUGUACAAACAAGAUGGAGCUGAUUGCUAGGAGGAAGGAUAGAACAAAACGAAGAUGAGCCAUCUUGCGAGCUUGGAAAAGACUGAUGGAGCUAUAUGAGGGAGGGGCAGGCAUUUUAUAGCCAGAGGAGGGGAGGCGAGGUCCUUUGGAUGACUUCGUCGUGAAUCGUGCACGAUUUUAGGUACACGGUCUUCUGUUCCCUUCUAUUUCAUUUUUUACUCUUACUGUCCGCGUAACACAAUCUGAUUUGUUUGCUGCCAAGUCGUCUCGGAAGUUUUCUUUUACCGGGCUUGUCUAGAGCCGUCAAAAUCAUCUUUUCUUAGAUGAUGACGACCUUGGUUUUGAUGGUAGGAACCGGUCUCAGUGAAACUCGAGUUUUACACGGUCUUGGUAAAAGCUUGACACUAAAUUGCUUUAUUCUCCAGAGACUUUUUAUAUGUGGAGUUUUAAUGGAAUUAUUAUGGAUUGUGUAGGUCCAUUGCUGAUACAAAUAAACUAUGGGUAUAUCGACCAAAGGUACGUCUAUGUAGGUUAUCAAUUUUGCAGACAAUUAUGUUGUCAGAAGGAUACUUGCUCACGUAGUCAUGAGAUAUAUAUAGUCAUAGUCAUUGUGAUUAUUGCUUGCAUCAUUGUCAUGGGCAAAAUAGAAUGUUUAUUGCUGCCACUUUAUUAAUCAGUUUAAUGAAAUAAACUUAUGAUAUUAAAAAGUUUUAUAAUUUGUCCCACCAUUGCAAUCUAGGAAAGCAUCCAGUUGGGGUGGUGGGAGUGAACUGAGAAACCCAAUAAGGUUUAGACUUUGGGUUAAGGCAUGACAUUUUUGCCUUGAGUAGAUUCAAGCUCCAUGAGAAAGAUCUAACAAGUAUUGAGCAAAAAGAUCUCACCUAGCUUGCCUUGUCCUUUGUAACAAGUAGCUCACAAAUCCACUCAUCCACUCAUUAUUUGGCAACUUAGAAAUAAUAUAAACUUCCAUUUUACUCAAAGUAGUUGAUGGAGUUAGAGGGUUCUUUAGUUGCUGUUGAGCUGACUUAGAAGAUGUUUCUUGAGGAGCAUCCAAUAGCUAAGUAUCCAAAGGCCAUUUGAAUUGUCAUUCAUAUCACUAUCUAUACAAAUGGACUAGUUGGAUUUUGAGUUGAAAUAACUAUAACCAAAGGAUCUCCAAGAAUCUCACUAUCCUAGCUAAGAAGAUUAUAGCUUCUUCCAAGCUCCAAGCUCCUACUAAACUAGCUCGUAAAAUUGUCCAUAUUGCUACUCUUGCUGCAAGCUUUGGCACCAUGCCAAUCUAAAAGUAGGCCUAGGCCUUAGCCUCAUCCAUGAGCACAAGAAGGGUCUAAAACUCUAAAAUCUUUGCUAUUUUUGUGUGCCUAUAAACCUGUAAUGUGAAAGAAAGAAAUAAAUAAAGGAUAAAAAAUAAAGAGAAAAGAAGGGAAGAGUGGAGUGGAUGCUUGCUAUUGCACUUGCUUGACUUGAUCUUGCACUUUGCUUCAGCUAAAUAUAAACAAUUACAUAAAAAUUGAGAGAGAAGAGUAACUUAAAGUCCUUCAAUCCCCCAAAAGGCUUUUGUUAAGGUUGUGAGCAAGGAUAGGCUUAAUAUUGCUUGAGUACUUUAGAUCUUGAGUAUGUGGAUAUGUGGAGAAGGGAGAAAAAAGGCAAGCUCGAGGAUUCAAGUUUAGGGAAGUAAACUUGAGAGGUUCAAGGUUAGGACUGUAUUCUUAACCUUAACGUGAGUAGUAGCGACUAUAAAAGUAGGACUUAGAAUGUUUUUAGACUUAUCCCUAAUACAAAAUACAUUGCAAUACAUCAUCAUUCUGCCUAUCUCUCUUUGGCUCUUCAUGGCAAUGGCAAUGUCUUACUUACCCACCGCCUUCAAGGGAUCAAAGGCAUGGGACUAGCACCUUCAAGCACAUGUUCACAGUCUCUACUUGGCUUGGCACAAGCAGGUAAGUGCAUUCAUCUUGUUGUGUUGUUUUAGAUUUAGGGAUUAGAUUAGAUUUGAAACUCCUAGGAAGAUCUCAUAUGGACGUUUUCCUCCUAGUUUAGAGAUUCCAGGAGUUUUCACUGGCAACCACAGUGGGAUAGAGCAGAUCAAGACGCUCAUUUCCCCAAAACUUCAAGGAAAACAGACUAAAGACGCACAAGAAAAUGGCAUAAGAAGAAAAAAAAGACCCAAAAAUCAAGAAAAACAAGAGCGUAAAACAAAAACGGUGGAAAAUUAUGAAGGAAUGAAGAAAAAAAUGGAUCAUAAGACCAAAAUAUAAAGAACACUUGAAGAUUGAAGCCACCCAAGUUGUGGAAAACUUGGAGCGUACGCGUAACUGUUUUGGCAAGAGGUUGAAGAAAGUGAAUAUUCCAAGAAUCUGUGAUAAGGAAACAACCAAGGAAAAAUUCUAGUGGCUGGAGAUGGAGGAAGAAUGAAAAAGCACGACUGCCCAUUUGGAGACACAAGCUAUACAAGAUAUGAGGACUGCCUUUUGUGUGGUUUCAAAAAUUAUGCAAAACCAUACAAGCAAUGCUAUUCAAAAUGGCAAUGCGACACUUGCAAGCAAGCAAAAGUAAGACUCCAAAUCAGGGAUGAAAAUGCCACAGCGGAGGAGAGAAGAAAACAAGAAGAAAUACCCCAAGAAAACGACACCAAAAAGAAAGAUGAUAGUUUAGAACAAGUAGCAAAACAAAGCUUUAGCUGCUUACGAAAACUACAAGAAACAAUUUUGCAACUCUUUUACAAAUUGUCUAGCAAAUAGGAAGAAUGCAAAAAUGAGGAAAUGUUGAAAGAAAAAUAUGUUUACUUCGAUUUCUUUGCAACUCGAAGAACUCUGACUUGGGGUGUAUCGUGGACACCUCUUUCAACAAACAAUUGUCGAAUUCCUAGGCAUACACAAACAUGAAACUUUUCAACCAUUAACGCUUGCUUUCAACACUGAUUUGACGAGAGUCAUAGCAACAACAAAGUAUAGCACCUUUGAACCACGAGUUCGUUGGUUUGUGGACACUCUUAGAUUUAGAGAUUUCGAAGAGAAUGCGGAAUUACUUUACCGACUUCUUCAAAGUCCUCUUCGUGUAAUGCUACCAACAAGCACUCUUAUUGAACAAUAUACUAUAGCAUAUUGGCACCAUUUAGGAUGGACAAGAAUAGCUAGAAAAUUAAGAAAUCAAAGACAAGGCCGUCAACAAAUUUAAAUUCGGAAUUCAAGUUCAAGAAACCGAUGGGAACCUGAACUUGAGUCAAGUUCAAGGGAACGACUUGAAAACUCAAGGAUAACAAGUCGAAGGAGGAGAAAUUUAAGAUAGAAUCAUAAUAGGCCAAGAUUAAAUACAGUAACAAACUUCAACUUUGACACUAAUGUCCAACAUCGAAACCCUAGCCUAGAGCUACAUAUCACUCGCAACCAACAAGGAAGAGUGCGUCCAAGUAGUCUCAACAUUUUAAGGAGUAUUUUAGGAGAUCUUGCGUCAAGAUUUCAAACUUAUAAUGCAAGAGUUUUAAUUAAGACUAUCCCUUGGGAAGUUCGUGAAGCGAUCGACUCUGAUCGUGAAAGAGAACAUGCUAUAUGACAGAGGGAAGUAGAACACCACCAGCAAGAACAGCAUCAGGGAAAUGCACCAUCACGAAAUCGACUAUAGAAAAAAGUGCACUGGAUAAAUCUGCGCACACAUAGGCUUAAAGCAACAAGAAUCUGUUGGAAACUAUACUGUGACGUGUGGACGUCAUUAGAGACUAGAAACAUACGAGCAGUAGGACAUUUAAAAUACAACCACUACUAUAUUCAGGAUUUUCAAAUAUUACCAACGACAAAAGCUCAUAGUGAGAGCUUGCAUACCACAACAACCAACACAUCAUAAGAGAUUAAAACAAUUGUUCAAGAUUGGACUACUAGAAAGAAUUGCAAUCAUUUGCAUACCUGCUUGAUCCCGAAGUUGGCGAACAGUGUCCAAAUUUACUAGCGAACAGCUAUAUCGAUCAAUUUAUGACACAACCGACCUGCUUCCACAAACAAAAUCGUACUUACUUACACCACCAGAUUUUUCAAAUACAAGACCUUUCCUGAGCUAGACUCAAGAAAGUGACCUCGAGAAGAAACUCGGGAAGAAUUGAGACAGAAAAACUCAAUUGAAGAUUCAAGACAUAAGAGCUUGACUUUGCAACAAAACCAACUUGCAGAAGACUCAGGACAUAAGAGCUUGACUGACACGAACCAUAGGAAUAUUCCGAGAAUAUUCUAUGGCUUGUGGGAUUUAAGGCCGUAACGCCUUAAGGGUUGGGAGGUUGGCCUAGGGUUCGCUCUCUUGUUCGUUUCAUUGGUAUCGGAGCAGCACGUUCUUUUGGGGAUGGUGGGAGAGCAAGACAUUGAUCCUGAUGAGGAGUAUGGCGUUAGUGAUGAUAGCCAUGACGAUGCAGAAGAGACUCUUGAUGAUGUCGUUGUGCGGCAAGGACUCCAGAUUUCUGAGGUUCAGAGCGACAUAAAGGACGUUAAGGAUUCCGUCAAUCUCAUUAAGGAUUUCUUGCUUCGCAUGAACCCUCAAAGGUUGAAUCAAUCUCAUGUCCGUGAUUACCAUUGGUAUGUCAAACAUGCCAAGGAUUAUGGUAUUGUGGAAUGGAAAUCAUCACCGGAUGUUUGUGAUAGUCAAGAGGUUGAUUCUUGGUUGGAAUUGUGGGAAAGUUGUUGGUCUCACAAUCCUUGUAAGGAUAAGGUGAAGAUAGAUUUCUUUGUGACGAAGUUUACGGGCCAUGCUUCUUCGUGGUGGAAGAACUACAUCAAAGCUAAUCCGAAGCCGACUUCUUGGACUAAUUUGACAAAGGUUUUCCGCGCUUCGUUUGUCAAGAAGUUUGAAGAAGUUGAUCUUGUGAAUCAAUUGUUAGAGAUCCGGCAAGGGACUCUGUCUUUAGAUGCGUAUGCCCGCAAGUUUUGUGAUCUUUGCCUUAGUCUCACAGGCACCUAUAAUGAGCUGCUAAAGGUGCAAUGUUUUAUCAAAGGAUUGAGCUCGGUGGAUGUGCAGCAGAAGGUCAAGAAGGAUUUUCCAGCAACAUUGACUGAUGCUAUCACUAAGGCUCAGAUCUUUUCGCCCGAACCAUCAGUCAACUCGGUCAACUCUGGUCAACGAGAUAGUCCACAGAGUAGUCAACGUGAUGACCAGCUUGCUAAUUCUUCAUAUUCGGGGAAGAAACGGUCGUUAUUCCGUUGUGGCUCGAAGCAUGAAAAUGGCAGUGAAGCUAAGAAACUUCGUUUGGACCAGCGAGAGAAAGACAAGGCGGAGGGCAAUUGUUUUCGUUGCCAUAGAGCUGGACAUCAGAGCAAGGAUUGUUCUAAAGGGGUCAAUGAAUGAUAAGGUGACUGUGGUGGAAAUUAUAGGCAAUGAUGUGAGUGAUAGUGCUUUUGAGGCCAUAUUGCUUCAAGUUAGGCAUUCUCUCGCCUUCAUGAGCCACAAGUUUGAUAUCACACAGCAGAAUUGACCUACUCAAGAAUGGCGACAUUAUCUAAAUGGAUCGGACUUCCAUAUAGUUUCAGAUCAUCAGUCUCUUCAGAUGUGGAUCUUCGAGGCCGCCUUGCUCGUUGGCAAGAGUUCCUGCAGGAAAUGUCUGUUAAGAUCCGGUACAAGCAUGGAGGUGACAAUAAGGUGGCUGAUGCGUUAUCCAGGAUAGUAAAUUUUAUCUCGUUCGUGAAGCUAUCCAGCGAUCUCUUGGAUGAGCUUAAGGAGUUUGCUGACUUCGACUCCUUUAUCACUGAUAUUCGCGCGAAGGUUUUGUUGAGGGACGCCUCUACAGAUUUGAAGGGUGACAAGUUUGCAUCAUUCGAAAUACGAGAUGGAAUCCUAGUGAAGAAGGGAUGUGUUGUGGUUCCUCAUGUUGACAAACUCAUCAAACGGAUUUUGGUUGAGUGUCAUGAUGUGCCAAGUGCUGGGCAUCUGGGGGUAUUAAGAACAUAUAUGUUGGUGAAGAGGCAUUUCUUUUGGCCUGGGAUGAAGUCAGAUGUUGAGAAGUACGUACGUGGUUGCUUGACCUGCCAGGCGGUCAAAGUUGAUCAUCAGAAGCUUGCUGGCCUCUAUCAUCCUUUACGUAUUCCCGAGAAUAAGUGGGAUAGCAUCUCGAUGGACUUUAUCACUGGUUUGCCCAAAACCUUUUGAGGAAAUGAUGCUAUUUGGGUUGUUGUGGAUCGUUUGACGAAGAUGGCUCACUUCUUCCCUGUGAAGACAACGAUAAAAGCUUCUGAACUUGCUCAGUUGUUUGUAGAUCGGUUAUUCAGUCUCUAUGGUUUGCCGGGUGACAUUGUGAGUGAUCGGGAUCCUAAAUUCAGGUCCAAGUUUUGGCAAACGGUCUUUGAAAAACUAGAGACUAAACUGAGCAUGAGUAGUGGUGAGCAUCCACAAUCUGAUGGGCAGACAGAGCGCAUGAAUCAGCUAUUAGAAGAUAUGCUACAGUCUUUUGUGGGAAACUUGACUCGACAGGGAGUAUGGGAAAAAUACUUGCCUUUGCUUCAGUUUGCUCACAAUAGCGCUCAUCAAUCGGCUAUUGGCAUGUCUCCUUUUAUGGCGAUGUAUGGCUAUGAGCCUAGGUCUCCUGUGAAUUUGAAUUUGGCUUUGGUUCGGGUUCCUCAUGCUUGUGAUUUCCUGGAGGAUAUGCAAGACAAGCUUGAGUUGGCAAAAUUGAACAUGAGGCAAGCUCAAGAACAAGACAAAAGAUUGGCUGAUGAGCAUCGUCGUCAUCAAGAGUACAAAGUUGGUGACAAGGUUUUCCUUAAGCUGUCGGAUGCACAACGAUCUCUAAAAGGAAGUGGUAGUGCUAAGUUGUCCCCACAGUAUUGUGGGCCUUGGACAAUUUUACAGCGUGUGGGGGAUCUUGCAUACACUUUGGAUUUGCCAGUUAGUUCGAAGAUUCAUCCAACGUUCCAUGUGAGCAAGCUUAAAGUGUGUUUGCACUCUGGUGAUAUCGUGGAUCAGUCCAUCAUCCAGGUUCCAGAGAUUGAUGCAGAGAAGGCUGGUUCGGCCAAUAUUCUUGCUCAAAGAUUGGUGAAAACAUGCCGGAAAACAACUAGGGAGUUGUUAGUUCAGUGGAAUGGUUAUUCCAUGGACGAAGCUACAUGGGAAACUGAGGAUGACGUGAAGAGAGUGUUUCCGAGUUUUGGUUAUGACUUGGAUGACAUUCCUGAGGAAGGGGAGAAUUGAGUUCUAUAGCCGUAUUGCUAUAUAAUCUGAACCGUUUGUUCUAUUCUCAUUCUCUUGUUUUCCAUGACCGUAUUGUCAUGUGAGAAAGCCGUAUUGCUUUCUUUCUUUCGUGACCGUUUGUUGCGAUGUUGGUGUUGCCGUUUGCACAUCUUUUCUCCAUGGCCGUAUUGCCUUGGACUCCCUUCAUUUGAGGCUCGUUUAGCUUCUUGAGGCUACCGUAUGUGGCUGGCUCAUGAGGGAGGGGAGAAUGACACGAACCACGGAAAUAUUCCAAGAAUAUUCCAUGGCCUGUGGGAUUUAAGGCCGUAACGCCUUAAGGGUUGGGAGGUUGGCCUAGGGUUCGCUCUCUUGUUCGUUUCAUUGACUUUGCAAUCUAUGAAGAACAACAUUUGACUCAAGACAACUUAGGCAAAACAUAAAUUCAGGAAACUUACCUUAAUAUUCAAGUUGAGAAGACUCAGCAAACUGAAUGUACAAACACAAACCAGACCCAAUCAAGAUCUGGGAAAGAGAUCUUCGACAAAAGAAUCAAGAAGUGAAAAAGGAAGAGAUAGAAAAAGAGAAACUAGAACAACAACAGCAACAAAUUUUAGAAACGAUAUUAGAGAAGUACGACAAAGAGGAUAAAGAAAUUCAAGUUGCCGAGUCGAACAACUCAGCCAAAGAUAACAAAGAACUAAAUAUUGAAGAUGCCCAAAAGUUUGAGGCAUUUGAAGAAGCAGAAAACAUAGCACCAAAGUUUUACUCCAAUCCAAACUCACCAGAACAACAACUUCACCAACAAAGUCUACAACUUCAAAUGGCAUNNNNNNNNNNNNNNNNNNNNNNNNNNNNNNNNNNNNNNNNNNNNNNNNNNNNNNNNNNNNNNNNNNNNNNNNNNNNNNNNNNNNNNNNNNNNNNNNNNNNAUUAACCUUACAAUAAAUACUUCAAAUAGCACCAUAUCUUAAGAGCCAAAUGCUUAAGAUUUGUUGUCCACAAAUUCCUGAUGCUCGCACUCAAGAAAAGCAAUUUCCAUCUACAUCUGAGAAAGAGGAUAACAUAAAAAUCCAACCUGGAGAUUACGAUGAUAAUGUACCUUGUAUUGACCUCAACAUAGGCAAGAAUCAAAUCAAUGGAGCAAUACUUGAUGGAGGCUCGGGUGUGUAUAAUCGAGCAUGGUAUAUGUAAAGCAAUGGGACUUGGACCCAUACAACCUGCUCCCUUCAAUGUCUGCAUGGCAGACCAACAUGUUGUAAGACCAGCUGGCAUAAUAAGAGAUAUCACCAUUGGAAUCAAAGGACACAAGUUCAAGAUCAACUUCGUGGUAUUAAAAAUGCCAAUUGAAGAAUCCUCUUACGUACUCUUGCUUGGAAGACCAUGAUUAAACAAAGUAGUUUAUGCUCAAUAUUGGAUGGACCAUGAAAUUUGUAUACAAUCAGACAAAGGAUAAAUGAAAAUAGCUACAACUACAACCAAGAAAAUUCCAAAAAGAUUUCAACCAAAUCAAGCCCAAGAAUACAAUUGGCAAGAAGGCUUGGACGACCUUGAAGAAGCUAAACUCCUUGAAGCUUACCUAGAGCUACGAGCUUUUCAAGAAAUCGAUUUACACCAUGUACUACCAGUAGUGGCUCAAGACCAGCACCACAACUUAAACUCGAUGGACCAACCACUCUACUCUACAAAGCUACAUGCUCAAAGUCAACAAAGAUUAAAGAUAAAACAACAAAACGAGAAGCCAACUCUCAAGCCUGAACAAUUACAAUCUAAAGAAUACAACAUUCAGAUUGAUGAUAAUCCAGCCCUACAAUCUAGAAAUGACAACUUUACACCCCGAAUUAACCUUAAUGAAGAAAUAGAAGAACUCAAUCUUGGACUUCACGAAGAUCCACACAACAUACUCAUUGUUGCAAAUCUUGACAAAAACUUCAAGAUAAAAUCUCAACAAUUACUCAUAACUUACAAGGACGUUUUCACAUGGUCAUACAAAGAUCUCAAGGGAAUACCCCCGAAACUAUGUACACAUCGCAUAGAGUUACUACCAGGAACUCGACCAAUUAAGCAAACAGCUUAUCACAUGAAUCCAAACUUCACUGAUAAAGUCAAAACAGAACUCAACAAACUACAAAAUGCUAGAUUCAUUUACCCCAUCAAGAAUGCACAAUGGUUGUCACCAUUGGCUAUCGUCCCAAAAAAAUUGCGAAUUUGUGUCAAUUACAAAAAGUUGAAUGAUGUCACGGAAAAAGACUCUUUCCUUAUACCAUUCUCAGACGAGAUACUUGACGCAGUUGCAGGACAUGAGAUGUACUCAUUCCUCGACGAAUUUUCGGGAUAUAAUCAAGUCCACAUAGCGCCAGAAGAUCAAUACAAGACUGCCUUCAUCAGUCUAUGGGGCACAUAUGCAUACUCCAGAAUGCCAUUCGGAUUAACAAAUGCACCAUUUACUUUUCAAAGGAUAAUUACCAACACAUUUCAGGAAUACUUGACUGAUUUUAUGUGCGUCUUCAUGGAUGACUUCAGCAUUUUUGGAGCAAAAGAAAAACACCUUGAACACUUAGAAAAGUGUUUCAUUAAAUAUCAACAAAACCGAGUUGCACUUAUAUUUUCUUUGUCAAAUUAGGAAUACUCCUUGGCCAUGUCAUUUGUAAAGACGGAAUUCUCAUUGACAAAGCAAAAAUAGAGGUCAUCGUCAAAUGACUCCACCCAUGGAUUUAACGAGUUUGCGAAGAUUUCUCGGAAAAAUGGGUUACCAUAGACGUUUUAUUCAAGACUAUGCAAAGAUUGCUAAACCGCUUACGGAGCUACUUAAGAAAUCUCAAGUUUAUGCAUGGACACAAGAUUGUCAACUGGCCUUUGACACACUUAAGGAUAAACUUACAAAAGCCCCCAUACUGGUUCAACCAGACUGGACAUAGGAAUUCAUUGUCCAAGUAGAUGCAUUUGAUUAUGCACUUGGAGUUAUACUUUGCCAGAGAAAAACUGAUAAUAGAGACCAUCUGAUUUACUACACAAGUUGUAGACUCUCUCCACCAGAGAUGAACUAUACAACCACGGAAAAAGAAGCAUUAGGAAUGGUCUAUGCACUCACCAAAUUUUGACAUUACCUCCUUUCAAACAAAGUCAAGAUCAUGGUUGAUCACCAAGCACUCAUACACUUACUCAACAAGACAAUACUCACUGGAAGAAUCGUGAGAUGGUUUCUUCUACUUCAAGAAUUCAACUUUGAGAUUAUUCACAAGCCAGGCAAACAACAUACACAAGCUGAUCAUCUUAGUCGACUUACCACAGGGGAACAAGUCAUGAAAACCAAUGAUGACUUACUUGAUUCACACCUUUUUAAGGUCAAAACUCAAGGAAUGCUCCAGGAUAUUUACAAAUUCUUGACGACAAACAAGAUCCCAAAUCACUACUUCACAAAUGAUCAAAGGAAACAAUUCGUCUUGAGGACACAACGAUAUUCAGUCGUGGGAGACAAACUAUAUAAGCUUGGACAUGACAACAUCUUGAGAAGAUGCAUAGAAUCACAAGAAGAGGUUAAGGAUCUACUCGAUGAAGCUCAUGCAGGACGAUCGGGAGGUCAUUUUGCCGAAGAAAUUAUGGCUAGGAAAGUGUUACAAGCUGGAUUAUGGUGGCCAACACUCUAGAAAGAUGCCACUCAGCAUUGUUAAGAAUGUGACAUAUGUCAAAGAACGAAAUUUCCACCGAGGAAACAAACUCAGGAACUCAAUCUGACAACAACAUUGGAACCCUUCCAGCGUUGGGGACUUGAUUUUGUUGGACCUAUAGCAAAAAGUAGCAAAGGAAAUCAAUACAUUUUGGUUGCUACCGGCUAUAUGACAAAAUGGGAAGAAGCUCUCCCACUAAAGAAAGCCACAGCAAAAAAUACAGCCAAGUUUCUCUAUGAAACAAUUAUAACACGAUAUGGAUUACCACGAGAAAUUGUUAUAGAUCAAGGAACACAUUUUCUGAAUGAGACCAUCAACAUUCUCGUUAAAGAAUUUAUCAUCAACCAUAAGAAGUCAACACCAUAUUACCCCCAAGGUAAUGGACAAGUAGAAUCCACAAACAAAACGCUUAAAAACAUACUCAAGAAAAUAGUCAAGACAAACCUUAAGGAUUGGGAUGAAAGAAUUUAUGAUGCUCUUUAGGCUUACAGAACAACUUACAAAGUUUUAACAAAUUCUACAUCUUUCAAGCUUGCCUUUUUUCUCCCUUCUCCAAUAUGCAUUGAUAAUGGAAGGCUAGAGUACAAAAGACCCUUUAACUAGUUUUACAUGAUGGCAACCACUACUUUUUCCUGUUUCUAAGUCUUAAGAUUGGAGUCUUGAGACUCGUGAUGAUACUUCUAAAUACAGUAACAAAUCAAUCAGCUGACCUCAGUAUUAGUGGUCGUGGGCAGUGCAUUCUAAAGCUCUUUGACUUGUUGGGCAAAGUCGGGCACCCAUGCUGGCAUGACUUGGUAGUGACCACAGCAAGUUUUGGUUGUUGAUAUGCAACUAGAACUUGUUUUAAACAGCAUAUGCAUCCUAGUCAAACAUGAGGCAGUCAAGAACUCUUGGAAUUCCCCAUUAUUGCAAAGAAAUAAAGAAAAAAUAUCAAUGAUUAUUCUAUUUAACUUUCAUUCACCAUUUUGUUAAGGAAAAACUUAAACAAUACACCACAUUAUUAAAUAAUAGUUUAAACGACCAGGAUGUAAUCGUUUGUACUACUCCUAUUCCAUCUAUAGUGCCCAAUUGUGUAGUGCUGUUAACAAUGUAGAGUUGGGAGGCAGCAUUAGUCAUGUGGAUGUCCUCCGCUGCUGCCUGGUUCGAGGAGCCCUUCCACUGUUGUGAGUUGAGCCUGCAAAGUCUGUUGCAAUAUUAAAAACGUUUAAUUGCCCAGCAAGCCUCACUGGUUUGAUCAGUCAGUGUAUAGUUUUAUCUUAAGAGUAACAUUCCACGAACUAGAGAGUAGAAUUUAGCUGCUCAACCAAAGUCCCACCCAUAUCCAUAACCCACGCCUUGUCCACCAGUGGAAUCAACUCUCUGCGAGGAAAGAAAAUAAGAUCCAAGCACUAAUCACGCAAGUUUACCGCAGAUCAUGGCUCACAACGAGCAACGUCCUCUCCUUCUUUAAGUAUGUGAGGUAAGAAUGUAGCUUGGAAUUUUUGGUGAGGUGUUGCUCUAACGAAAGGUGAAACCGUGUGAUGGUGCUCAAGAUCCGUCAUAGCAUAUAUGGAAUGGAAAAUGUACAUAUGUGUGACAUGGUGAACCAGUGAAGACUCGUGUCUCUCCACGUGGACUAGCCACGUGGCACAGGGCCACUCUCAACACUCCCAGUGGGACUGCGGCCAUCACGAGUGAUGCUCAUCAGUGGAGAAAGUCCCAGCCCUUCGCAAUGGACUUGAAAUCGAUCUUGGGGUAGUGCUUUUGUGAAGAUAUUUGCAACCUGAGUGGUCAUGUCGCAGUAGAUCAGCUCAAUUGGGGUAGAAUGCAUAAUACAGCACCCCCCCUUAUUUAGGGUGGGCCCCAUUUGUUUAUUUGGAUUUGCAUGCCACCUCAUUGCUUACUUGCGCAUGCCACCUCAUUAUUAUAAAUUAAAGAGAUAAAUCUUUGAGAUGCCCGAGUGGGACUGCUGCCACGGAGGACGCGAGGAGUGAGGCGUGCUGCCACGGAGGACGCGAGGAGUGAGCGUGGCAAAGGGGCAACCACGUAAGAGUGAGGGGUGCUGUAUUAUGCAUUUCUUCCAGCGAGGAUUGGCUGCUAAUGCAAUGCAGCUUUGAUUGUCGCAGAAGAGGCGAGUGGGAGUCUUCACACUCACACCAAGGUUAGAAAGUAGUGAGCGUAACCACACACCUUCUUUGGUAGCUUGUGAGGCUGCCAAAUAUUCUGCUUCAGUACUAGAGGUUGCCACUGUACUUUGCUUCCUGCUGCACCACGAGACUGUCGCACUGCCCAGGGAAAACGAAUAGCCAGAGGUGGACUUGCGUGUGUCACAGUCUCCCCCAAAAUCAGCAUCACAGUAGCCCGUGAGGGUAAGCGCUUUUCCCUGGUAGCACAAUCCAAGGUAAGUAGUACCUCGAAGGUACCUGAAGAUGCGUUUCACCGCUGCCCAAUGUUGAGAUCCAGGAUUAGCCAGGAAUUGGCUCACGGCAAAAGAAAUAUCUGGGCGCGUACAAACAGCUGGAUACAUGAGACUGCCAACAGCUUGUCUGUAAGGGAUGGAGUCCAUGGCUCUCUUGUCUUCCUCUGUCUCAGGAGACAUGGCUCGUGAAAGCUGGCAGCCUAGUUCCAUUGGUGUCGCCACUGGAUUAGAGCUCGUCAUAGAAAACCUGGCCAGCAUAUCUUCUAUAUACUUGGCUUGGUGAAGAUAGAUAGUGCGUUGAGAGCGAUCACGCACAAGUUCCAUGCCAAGAAAGUAGGAAGCCGAGCCAAGAGUUUUCAUCUCAAAUUGGCUGCAAAGAUCUCGCUUAACCUGGAGAAACAUUAAGCGAUGAUUAUGGAUGACAAGAGUAUCAUCAACAUAAAGAGCGAUGAUCACAAAUGAUUCACCCUCCACCCGAAUAUAAAGAUUCGGGUCUGCCUCGCUACGGGAAAAGCCCACACUUAGUAUAAAAUCGUCAAAGCGUUUGUACCAAGAUCUGGGUGCUUGUUUCGAGCCGAUCUGGGUGCUUGUUACAAGCCGUAGACAGCUUUCUUGAGAAGCCAGAGAUGAUCCUCUUUUCCAGCGGCUAGAAAUCCUUCUGGCUGUGCCAUAUAGAUUUCUUCUUCAAGCGCACCAUAAAGGAAUGCCGUGGUCACAUCCAUCUGUUCCAGAUCAAAGUCUCCCACCGCAGCAAAAUUAAUCAAGGAACGAAGAGUAGAAUGUUUAACCACUGGAGCGAAGGUGUCGUUGUAGUCAAGUCCAGGAACUUGCGAGCAUCCUUUCGCCACCAAUCGCGCCUUGUAGCGAUCCGAGCCAUCAGGAUUAAGCUUCAGAGCAUACACCCACAUGCUCUUGAUAAUCUGGCGAUUGGAAGGCACAGUUGGAACAAGAACAUGUGUCUCGUUCUUUUGCUGUGAAGCAAUCUCGGCUUCCAUUGCUACACGCCAGUAAGACGCUUCCUGUGAGGCCAUGGCUUCUCCAUAGGUCCUCGGAACAGUAGGAGUCCCAGCUGCACGAGAGGAGACCAUUGCUCAGUAGGCUACUUCCAGACUUUCAAGGAUAUGGGAGAAACACAAACUGGGAAAAUGCUCAAGCGAUUGAGAAGUGAUGGUGGAGGCGAAUUCACUUCCAAUGCUUUCAACCAGCUGUGUGAGCAAGGAGGGAUUGUGCGAGAACUUACAACGCGAGAGACUCCACAACAGAAUGGCGUAGCUGAGCGCAAGAAUCGCACACUAGUGGAGAGUGCUCGGGCAAUGCUACUUUCCAGUGGUCUGCCUCGCAGCUUCUGGUUUCACGCUGUCUUGACGGCGAACUAUCUCCAGAACCGGCUCCCCACCUCUGCCCUUGCUGGCAUCACUCCUGAAGAAGCAUGGAGUGGCAAGAAACCCACAGUUACGCAUCUGAGAAUAUUCGGGUGUGAAGCGUGGGCACACAUCCCUGAUGGAAUGCGCAAGAAAUUGGACCCCAAGAGCCAGAAGGCUGUGUUUGUGGGCUACAGCCUCGAUCACAAAGCCUAUCGUCUCUGGAAUCCAAUCACGAAGCAGGAGAUCCUGAGCAGAGAUGUGGUUUUCAACGAGAAUUCUUUUCUUCCUUCUAGUCAAGGUUCUACUUCCAGACCUACCUUGACCGAAGAAAAUGACGUUGAAGCGGAACAAGAUCAGUUGACUGUCGGCACGAUCACUGUGCCGCUUCAAACAGUCCCUACGCAACAACCCAUGCCCGCUUCUACUCCAACACCACCAACCCCGCCGCCUCCUCCAGAUCCUCUACGCAGAUCGAUCCGCACAAGGCGCACUGGACGACUAAGAACCUGGAUCUAGACUUCAACGAGUGGUGGGAUUGGGUAUCGGCACCCAUGGCAGCCACUGUUCCUACAAAUCCGCCUCCAAAUCCACCACCUAUUUCCCCUCCCAUCACAAAUCCGACUGUGCCUACAGCGGAUAUCGUUUCAGUGGACGCAAAUCCACCAAAAUUUGAUGGGAGGAACUGGCGCUUCUGGAAGACAAAAUUCGAAUCCUAUAUGGAUGAACGAGGCCUCUGGGACAUCACCACAGGAACUGAGACACUUCCAGAUACAGCUACAGUGGAUGAAACUGCGAAGUAUCGCAAGAAGGACCGGAGAGCUUUGGGCAAAUUCCAUGCAGCGCUGGAAGGGCGAGAAUUCCAUUGCAUUGGACGGUGCAAGAGUGCAAAGGAAGCGUGGGAGGCCAUGAAGCAGACUUACCAGAUCCCUUCAACAUCCCAUCGCAUUUUUUUACGGAAGCAGCUUCAUGCACUGGUGAUGGCUGAAGGGGACGACCUCAAGGAUCAUCUUGCUGCAGCGAGAACAAUCUUAGAUGAUCUUAAGGAUGUGGGAGCAAACAUAGAGGAUGAAGAAGAAGCAGAGCUGGUGCUCGUCACACUUCCUCCAUCCUUUGAUCCUCUCAUAUGUAGCAGCCGCCAGGACGAUGAUCUGAGACGAAGAGCAACAACAGGAUCAGAGGCCGUUGCAUUCUACUCUUCUCUCAGGAAAGAAACAGUGAACAAAGGGAAACAAGGAGCCUCUUCAUCCAAGAAGCCCAAGUGUUCUCAUUGCAACAAGAAAGGCCAUGACGAAGCUCAAUGCUGGGUGAAAAAUCCAUCUCUCAAGCCUGUAAGGAACAAUGCAAAGAAAAAGGUGGUACACGCCUUCAUCUUGUCACGAGCUAUGGCAGUGGCAGCACUGUCUACAGAGUGCAUCUACCUGGAUUCUGCUGCUACAGACCAUAUGUUCAACAGUGAUAAGUACUUUGAAGCCUAUGAUCCUACAGCCACAGAGGAGUAUGUCAUCGUUGGCAAUGCCCAGCAGCUUGCUGUGAAAGGAAUUGGAACCAUCAAGUUCACUUUACCACAAGGAAUAGUCGUAAAGAUCCACGAGGUUCUUUAUAUUCCUGGUUUAUGUGCUAAUUUGUUCUCUGUGGGACAAUUUGCUGAGGAUGGGUAUCAGUUCGCCAUUACACCUCGCCAAUUCCAGCUGAUCUCGACCACAGGAGCCAUCCUCACAGCGUCCCGGCCUGGACGGCGUGACCUCUACCGCCUUACCAUGCUGCCAGAUCUUGCUGGACGGAGUCUGGGCCUACACGCACAAAAGACAACGACCAGUCACUCACUGGAGCUUUGGCACGCACGCCUGGGGCAUCCUAGUGCUGAUAGAAUCAAGCAUCUCGCACGCGAGCAGAUGGUUGAAGGUCUAGACCUGGACCCAAGAGCCGUUCUUCCAUUUUGCCAGGGCUGUCAGCUAGGAAAAUCUACUCGCCAACCUUUCCCCAAGACUGGAGCAUCUCGAGCUACAGCUCUGUACACACUGAUGUGUGUGGCCCGAUGGCCACCACAGCAGUGGGAGGUUUAUCAGUUUCAUUGAUGACUACAGUCGUCGCACUAUGAUCUACCCUAUGGCUCGCAAAUCCCAAUCGUUACACCCUCUUGCAAGGCCUGGAGCGCUUGGAUUAGGGCACGCCUCUGUCUACGUAGACGGAGGCUCCGAUUCACCCUAGCAAGUGUCGCCCUGAUCCUACGGUUUCGAAUUCUUCUCGCUCUCCCAGGCAUUGCUCUGAUACUAUCUAACGAAAGGUGAAACCGUGUGAUGGUGCUCAAGAUCCGUCAUAACAUAUAUGGAAUGGAAAAUGUACAUACGUGUGACAUGGUGAACCGGUGAAGACUCGUGUCUCUCCACGUGGACUAGCCACGCGGCACAGGGCCACAGUUGCUGAUCGCAAAAAUGGCGAAGAGGUUUGCAAUUUUCUUUUUCCUUCUCUAUAUCAAGCUUGCAGGGGUGCCAGAAUGCUGAAACGGAUUCUACCAGCCGGUGAGCUUGUUUACUUUUCGCGUGGCUAUUGGUGAAAUUCAUGGUGUUCUUGCUUUUUAAGGUUGCUUCGACUCGACUAUGCUGCCGCGAUGCGUCCCCAUCCUGAGAAGGUGCAAAGCUUACUUGCUAAUUUUUGUAGAUCUUCUAAGCUUUGCUGUUUACAGGCUCAAAGAGGGGGUGAAGAUGCUUUGCAAAGGCGAGAAUGAAUUGGAGCGGUGGAAAGCUAGAUGAUACCACGGCAGUUGUGGCGUUUGUGACCUGAUAUUUGAGUCGCGAAGGGUAAACAUUUCAAGCAGUUUUUGCGGAGGCCAGUGUAAAUUGCUCAGGCCGUUAAUUUUUGCGGUAUUUCCGGUUCUUACGCUAAUUGAGGUAUGACAUCCUUUUGAUUUGAUUCAAACCGUUCUUUGUGUCUUUUGUGUCCAGCCUUCAUUUUAAAUCGCAGGUAGCUGCUGCUGAAUCUUCCUUUUAGAAAUCAAGGUUUUGUUCCAUCAGAAGGUUCACAACCUGAAGUUCUAACCUCACUGGAGAUUGAACACCGGACAGGACAGGUAUCUCUUCUGUUUAGAGGGAACUGCUCAGGGUCACUUGAGGUGUUAGACAUGUAGUUUAGCUGGACGAUCACGAGCAAGCUCAAGAUACUCAAGCUCUCCGGCAACAUGAUCUCUGGCUCGUCCUUCUCGGGGGUACAUCGAGCUGCUAGGCCUUUGGCACGAUGGGAUCUUUUGCGACUGCGUGGCUCUCCAGGAGCUCUUCAACAGUCGCACUCCCCCGUCCAGCAGCAAAUUCCGGAAUUUCAUUCUCGGCUCUACAUCUCUCAGCCAUCCAAAUGGGUGUGCGGGCUUGGAAGUGCUCGAACAACGUUUCGGAGGAGCUCGUGUGGGCCCUAUCAUGUCUCUCAGCUUGGGCAGACUCUUUGAGUUUGCUCAGAUCUCUCGGAGAACCGGUUGAAGGGGAUGGUUCUGAAGGACUAAGUGGUGGAAACCCUGUUACAGUCGAAUAGCAACAAAGAGCUCACGGAGAACAGCUUGAAGGACAGCUCCAGGCGAGCUCGUGUGGAGGAUCCUUGGAUACCGCUUUCAUCCCAGUACCGUGAGACUCCACCAGAAAGACGGUGAGGAAGGUGGCGACAAGCCAAUUGGCUGGAGCUGUGACUUCCUUCUUUGUCUCGAGUAUUUGGUCGCGUGUCCCGUCCACAUGGUGAGCCAUGGAAUUGUUUCUUAGUUGCUCAAAUCUUAAUUCUUUCUGAUCUCCAGGUUGGUAAUCACCAUUACCAACUAAGAGGAAUUUUUUGCAUUGAGGCUUUGCAGUUCGGUAGGCGACGAAGAAAAACUUUCCAGGAUCGGAGGAUGAAAAGUUACAGCCCGAGCUUGCUGUUCUUCGUGCUUGUCUUCUCCGCUGCGGCACUGAUACUCGUAUGGAUUCUCGACAUAAAAAUUCCGACUCCGCGAUGAUGUCCUGGAGCCGAACUCUGGGAUCAAACUCCGCAUCAGCAACAACACCACAAGCUACAAGGGCAGUGACACUUGCAGGAGUAGGAACGAGUACGACUUCUACAGCCGCCGAAGAUCGGCGAGCUUCGAGCCAUCCGAGUCGCUCCAACAGAAAAUCCUAGAGUACGAGGCUUUGCACGGGAGGUGCGCUCCGGGGCCCGAGCAGUGCGCGAACUGUAGUACAUGCGGCUACCUCGUCUACGUUCCCGCCAACCAGGGGAUCGGCAACAAGAUGGUGGCUAUAGUAGCAGCGUUUCUCUACGCGCUGCUCACCGACAGGACGAUGCUGAUCGCGAGGUUGGAGAACCUGGACACGCUCUUCUGCGAGCCGUUUCCAUCCAGCUCCUGGCUGCUGCCGUCGAAGCACCUCGAGUUGGCGCCGUGGGACGCCUCCAAGUGGAUUGGGAGCCUGGCGGGUUCGCCCAACUGCAGCCGCGGCGUCGACGUGAGCUUCCCCGAGGUGGUGGUGGCCUAUCUCGAUUACAACUACAGGGACCACUUCUGCCAAGAUCAACAGCAAGCUCUCAACUCCAGCGCGCGGUGGAUCGUCCUCUCCUCCGGCCAGUACUUCACUCCGGCGCUCUACAACGUCCCGACUUUCAGGAGCAAACUCGAGGAAUUGUUCCCACAGCAGGAGGCCAUCUUCCAUCUCCUGGUGAGGUACCUGUUGCUUCCCAGUGACUUCGUGUGGGACAAGGCGGCCAGGUACUACGACGCAUACCUGGCCCAGGCCGAGCUUCUAGUCGGGGUCCACUUGCGAAACCACAUCUGGUUCUCGCCACCCAACCUCGCCGAGGAUACGUUCGACUGCCUGGUGCAACAAGGCGCGCUCGCAAACACCACCCAGGAGCGAGCUCCCAGAUCGUCGGUGAGGAAGAACAGCAAGAAGGUGGCGGUGCUGGUGGUGUCGCUCAACUCGCAGUACUCGGAGACGCUCAAGAGCAAGGUGCUGGGAUACGAUCUAGCGGACGGCUCCUCGGUGUCCAUCCACCAGCCGAGCGUGGAGGGGGUGCAAAACACAGGGAACUUGGAUCACGACGCACAAGCGGUGAUGGAGAUCUACUUGCUGUCGAUGAGCGAUGUCCUGGUGACGAGCCCGCCAUCCACGUUUGGCUACUCGGCAGCGGGGCUGGCGGGGUGAGGCCCGUGCAGUUCGUGUGCGACCAGAACAAGAGCGUGGUUUGCUCGGUGAGGGAGACGAUGGAGCCGUGCUACCACGUUUAUCCGGCUCAGUCCGCGCUGGACAACAUUGAAAAG
This 23781-nucleotide long non-coding RNA is filed under the name Selaginella moellendorffii. RNAcentral describes it as "long non-coding RNA (SMOE_LNC002160)". Lineage: Eukaryota; Viridiplantae; Streptophyta; Lycopodiopsida; Selaginellales; Selaginellaceae. The record is from RNAcentral.